Long non-coding RNA from Lutra lutra (Eurasian river otter), 631 nucleotides. RefSeq lists it as uncharacterized. Lineage: Eukaryota; Metazoa; Chordata; Mammalia; Carnivora; Mustelidae. The record is from RefSeq and is a predicted model, not a curated record. The transcript is spliced from 3 exons.
UUCCGGAUAGGAAGCAGACAGCUCGGGCUCGCCAAGUUGAGAGGCCCAGGAAGACGAGGCGGAAAUGAGGCCACCCGGAUCCCUGAAUGCUAGAUUUCGAUUGGUCCGCAAAGGAAAGGGCCUUGACUCCGACGGAGCCCAUUUUUGUUUGGGGCAAAACAAAGCGAUUGGCGCCACCUACCCUGAACUGUGAUUCUAGGAUUAGGUGAUGAUUCUGACAACUUCUGUUUUUGCGUAUCAGCUUUCUCUGCGGAGUUUUUUUGGCUUUUAUUAGUUCAUUGAGAUUUCGGAAGACUGGCAUCAAGAAGUGUUUCUGACGAUUACAAAGUAAGACAAGCUACAGCAACUCUGAAACCAAGCAGCGAGCAAAAAGGCAAUUGAGUGCUGUGUUGUCCAAGUUCUACUUUCCCUAGAGUUUUGUACAGUGGAAGAGUUUCGGCUACAUGAAUCAUUUCUAGCUAGGAGGCCUUGAAGACUCUAACAGGAGCUAAUCAAGUGGAAACACAAUGGGGAAAUCCAGGUCAACUAUAAUUCCCAUCAUGACUAAGCAGCAUAAAGACUCAGACUACAGUGACCUAGAACUGACCUCAGGGAGAAAUCAGUCAAAACAGGAUCAUUCAUUUCCAGGAUU